RNAcentral lists this transfer RNA (74 nucleotides) under Streptomyces sp. MC1. Its description in RNAcentral is "tRNA-Thr". It matches the Rfam family "tRNA". From Rfam's summary of the family: Transfer RNA (tRNA) molecules are approximately 80 nucleotides in length. Their secondary structure includes four short double-helical elements and three loops (D, anti-codon, and T loops). Further hydrogen bonds mediate the characteristic L-shaped molecular structure. tRNAs have two regions of fundamental functional importance: the anti-codon, which is responsible for specific mRNA codon recognition, and the 3' end, to which the tRNAs corresponding amino acid is attached (by aminoacyl-tRNA synthetases). tRNAs cope with the degeneracy of the genetic code in two manners: having more than one tRNA (with a specific anti-codon) for a particular amino acid; and 'wobble' base-pairing, i.e. permitting non-standard base-pairing at the 3rd anti-codon position. Lineage: Bacteria; Bacillati; Actinomycetota; Actinomycetes; Kitasatosporales; Streptomycetaceae. The record is from RNAcentral.
CGCGGGGUGGAGCAGCUCGGUAGCUCGCUGGGCUCGUAACCCAGAGGUCGCAGGUUCACAUCCUGUCUCCGCUA